RNAcentral lists this unclassified non-coding RNA (1610 nucleotides) under Hevea brasiliensis (rubber tree). The record is from RNAcentral. Lineage: Eukaryota; Viridiplantae; Streptophyta; Magnoliopsida; Malpighiales; Euphorbiaceae.
CUAAAAAAAUGAAAAUAAUAAAAUAGAAACAUCAUGCUGCAAUUGAAAAAUUACCGGUAGUCGAAGGAGUUCCUCACAAGUAUAUAGCAUUUUCUCACAAGUAGUUAUAUAUUUAAAACAGUAAAAUAAUGCAUAUAGGAUCACACACCUUCAAAAAAAAAGAAAUUUAGAGUAAGAUAUUUAUAAAAAUUAAUUAAAACAUGAAUUCAAAAUAAAUAAGAGAUAAGACCAAGUGGGCAACAUGAAUAUAUAUAGAGCACAUCUAGAGAAGGAUAGGCAUUAAUGAGAUAAUCAAUGAUCCACUUCAACGAUCCCUGAACAUGCCCUGAUUUCUUCAUUAUAUUCGUAUGCUCUCCAUAUCCUCUUGAGAGUUUUCCAUUCUACAGAUUUGCUGCACCAACUUUCAAAGAGUUUUUCAUGCCAAAAUUUGAUCUAAUGACAUGAUCUACUUUAUACAAGCAAGGAAAGAUUGUCAAGAAUAGCUGCUUCCUGAGUUAUCACAAAAUUAAAAUUGACUAUCAUGCCUAUAGUUUUUCUGUGAUCUAAAUCAAAGAAGCACCGUAACAAUAACAAAAUUUAUAAGCAAACUGCCAAUGUAUCUUAAACGCUUUACCUUGGAACUCACUCCACAGUUAUGCACAACUCAAUAGAGCAGGGAGUAGAAAAAGAAAAGAAAUAAAUUUAUUUUUUAGAUAAAUAUUUAUUAGAAAAAUUUGACGGAUUUUGAAAAUUCUCUACAUCUAGAAGAUGCAAAGAUAAAUUCAAAAGUCACCUCCUUGAGCUCAUCAUGAAAUGUCAUCUAUCAAAGAAAAUUGUUACUAAAAUAAAUCAAGAAACUUCUUGUCCAUUUUAAGUGGCAUAACCCUGUCUACUGUGGUGGCUGUAUUCCUUAGUCAUAGCAAAGGCAUCCAUCAUAUUUUGCUCUUUGUUCACAUGCUCAACGUGUAAAAUAACAUAUAUAAAUAGAAAGAAGGAAUUAAUUACAUGAAGAAGAAAACAAUGAGUUGCAUUAAGAAAAUAUAAAUUAAAAUUAAUAAAAUUUAUUCAUCAAUAAAAUUUUAUAUGGUAGUGAGUGUUGGACAAUGAAAGAGCCGUAUGUGUCUAAGAUAAGCCGUAUGUGUCUAAAAUACCACUUUUUAGACAGUAAUGAUUCCUAUAUAACCAAUUUCAAAAGUACCCUAAGUCACUUCCCUAUGCUAAACCAAAUCAAUUCUAUUGAUCUUAUCAGUAAUAUAAAACCAAUUCUUUUUUCCCAAGGUCUUUGCCUUUAUAUAAGUUAGAUCGCAUAUUCAAGUAAAUUCACUUGUGUAUUUUGGAGCACAUAUAAAUUGCACUAUCUAACAAUUCAAGAUCUGUUUAACAGAAAAUUAAUAAACUUCAAACAGAAAAGACAGGCCAAAUCAAAUUCCAAAAACAAGGAUCAACCCCACCACAGGGCAAACGAAUGCAAGCUAGCAGGAAUAGCAUAAACAUCAUCCACAACUGCAAGUAAUAAAUAAGAAUAAAACAGAAGAUUACCUGGUAAGGAAAUUGGGGUUGGUGGAACAAACGGAGGAGGAGGUGAAAAUGGGGGAGAACCUGGGCAAGGAUGCCCAGUAACUGGCCCACAC